AGCAGCCGCGGUAAUUCCAGCUCCAAUAGCGUAUAUUAAAGUUGCUGCAGUUAAAAGCUCGUAGUUGAAUUUCGGGACUAAUAUGUCGGUCGUGCCUCGGUACGUACUGGUUUAUUGGUUUCUCCUUUCUGAAGAACCAUGAUGUCAUUUAUUUGGUGUCGUGGGGAAUCAGGACUGUUACUUUGAAAAAUUAGAGUGUUUAAAGCAGGCUCACGCUUGAAUACAUUAGCAUGGAAUAAUGAAAUAGGACGUUUGAUUCUAUUUUGUUGGUUUCUAGGAUCGACGUAAUGAUUAAUAGGGAUAGUUGGGGGCAUUAGUAUUCAAUUGUCAGAGGUGAAAUUCUUGGAUUUAUUGAAGACUAACUACUGCGAAAGCAUUUGCCAAGGAUGUUUUCAUUAAUCAAGAACGAAAGUUAGGGAUCGAAGACGAUCAGAUACCGUCGUAGUCUUAACCAUAAACUAUGCCGACUAGGGAUCGGAUGAUGUUUAAUUUUUAAUGUACUCAUUCGGCGCCUUAAACC
RNAcentral lists this unclassified non-coding RNA (520 nucleotides) under uncultured Glomus. RNAcentral's name for it is "SSU rRNA". It matches the Rfam family "Eukaryotic small subunit ribosomal RNA", at positions 569 to 1094 of the family's 1831-position model. Lineage: Eukaryota; Fungi; Glomeromycota; Glomeromycetes; Glomerales; Glomeraceae. The record is from RNAcentral.